CCUACGGGAGGCAGCAGUGGGGAAUUUUGGACAAUGGGCGCAAGCCUGAUCCAGCAAUGCCGCGUGAGUGAAGAAGGCCUUCGGGUUGUAAAGCUCUUUUGUCAGGGAAGAAACGGUUCGGGUUAAUACCUUGGGCUAAUGACGGUACCUGAAGAAUAAGCACCGGCUAACUACGUGCCAGCAGCCGCGGUAAUACGUAGGGUGCAAGCGUUAAUCGGAAUUACUGGACGUAAAGCGUGCGCAGGCGGUUGUGCAAGACAGAUGUGAAAUCCCCGGGCUCAACCUGGGAAUUGCAUUUGUGACUGUACGGCUAGAGUGUGUCAGAGGGGGGUAGAAUUCCACGUGUAGCAGUGAAAUGCGUAGAGAUGUGGAGGAAUACCGAUGGCGAAGGCAGCCCCCUGGGAUAACACUGACGCUCAUGCACGAAAGCGUGGGGAGCAAACAGGAUUAGAUACCCUGGUAGUCCACGCCCUAAACGAUGUCUACUAGUUGUCGGGUCUUUAUUGACUUGGUAACGCAGCUAACGCGUGAAGUAGACCGCCUGGGGAGUACGGUCGCAAGAUUAAACGUNAAAGGAAUUGGNGNGNGNGAGNGCGAGNGACGACGAGGAGNGG
RNAcentral lists this ribosomal RNA (614 nucleotides) under uncultured bacterium. RNAcentral's name for it is "bacterial SSU rRNA". It matches the Rfam family "Bacterial small subunit ribosomal RNA", at positions 338 to 945 of the family's 1533-position model. The record is from RNAcentral.